CCUACGGGUGUCAGCAGUGAGGAAUAUUGGUCAAUGGGCGCGAGCCUGAACCAGCCAAGUAGCGUGAAGGAUGACUGCCCUACGGGUUGUCAACUUCUUUUAUAAAGGAAUAAAGUGAGGCACGUGUGCCUUUUUGUAGGUACUUUAUGAAUAAGGAUCGGCUAACUACGUGCCAGCAGCCGCGGUAAUGCGGAGGAUCCGAGCGUUAUCAGGAUUUAUUGGGGUUAAAGGGAGCGUAGAUGGGUUGUUAAGUCAGUUGUGAAUGUUUGCGGCUCAACCGUAAAAUUGCAAUUGAUACUUGCAGCAUUGAGUACAGUUGAGGUAGGCGGAAUUCGUGGUGGAGCUGUGAAAUGCUUAGAUAUCACGAAGAACUCCGAUUGCGAAGGCAGCUUACUAAACUGCCACUGACAUUGAUGCUCGAAAGUGUGGGUAUCAAACAGGAUUAGAUACCCCUGUAGUC
This 460-nucleotide ribosomal RNA is filed under the name uncultured bacterium. RNAcentral's name for it is "partial 16S ribosomal RNA". It matches the Rfam family "Bacterial small subunit ribosomal RNA", at positions 338 to 795 of the family's 1533-position model. The record is from RNAcentral.